AUGCAUGUUGCGACCCCUGGACGCAUUGUUUUGGUCAAAGCUGUCCUCACAGCCAUUGCGAUAUACCAUCUCACGCCGCUGGAGCUCCCAGCUGAGGUGUGGAAAAAGAUUGAUAGCCUGCGGCGUGCUUAUCUUUGGGCUGGCUGUGACAAGGUGUCUGGUGGAAAGUGUAAGGUUAAUUGGGAGCAUGUUUGCAAGCCCAAGACCUUCGGUGGCCUGGGUGUGCUUAAUCUCGAGAAGUUUGCGACUGCCCUUCGUCUUCGCUGGCUUUGGUUCGAAUGGGCCGACCCUCCCAAAACCUGGAUGUGGAUGGAAACGCCCUGUCCUGAUACUGACAGAGAUCUUUUUUCAGCAUCCACGAUUGCGACCAUUGGUGAUGGCAAAAAAAGCAAAAUUCUGGGAGUCAUCUUGGCUCAACGGCCUCCGACCUAA
This 432-nucleotide ribosomal RNA is filed under the name Triticum aestivum (bread wheat). RNAcentral describes it as "partial small subunit ribosomal RNA". The record is from RNAcentral. Lineage: Eukaryota; Viridiplantae; Streptophyta; Magnoliopsida; Poales; Poaceae.